CGGCGAAUUAGCUCACUGGGAAGCGCCCGCUUUCGGAGCGGGAAAUCGCGGGUUCGACUCCCGCAUUCUUGU
This 72-nucleotide transfer RNA is filed under the name Synergistaceae bacterium. Its description in RNAcentral is "tRNA-Arg". The stretch from base 5 to 68 matches the Rfam family "tRNA". Rfam says of the family: Transfer RNA (tRNA) molecules are approximately 80 nucleotides in length. Their secondary structure includes four short double-helical elements and three loops (D, anti-codon, and T loops). Further hydrogen bonds mediate the characteristic L-shaped molecular structure. tRNAs have two regions of fundamental functional importance: the anti-codon, which is responsible for specific mRNA codon recognition, and the 3' end, to which the tRNAs corresponding amino acid is attached (by aminoacyl-tRNA synthetases). tRNAs cope with the degeneracy of the genetic code in two manners: having more than one tRNA (with a specific anti-codon) for a particular amino acid; and 'wobble' base-pairing, i.e. permitting non-standard base-pairing at the 3rd anti-codon position. Lineage: Bacteria; Thermotogati; Synergistota; Synergistia; Synergistales; Synergistaceae. The record is from RNAcentral.